AUGAAUGCAUUCCAUUCGUGCCUCUACAUGGUAGAUGAUUUGGAUUUGAAUUCAUAUUCCAUUCCAUUCCAUGCAUAUGUGUUUUGUCGGUCGCAAUGCAUAAAUGGUUUAACAAGGAAGAUUUUGAGCAACGAAUAUGCUCUUUAUUUUAGACACAAGAAGGAACAACGAGCAUGCAUUGUACUCUCAUUUCUUCUCUGCAUCUACCAGAUCAAGAUGCAGAGGCAACUCUUAAAUGCUUCAAAAAAUAAAGGAAAAUCACAGGCUAAUCGGCGUUAUUCGGGCGACAACAGGUCCAGUCACGCGGCCUUAGUGCUGCGGGUCUUGCAGAAGUUGGUGAUGAAAUCCUUGCACUGGAAGCUGUCACGGCCGCCGACGGUGGACUUGGCGCAGGUCUUGCAGGCCAGGUUGCACCCGGUAGGCGAGGUGUCCAUGCAUCUGCACUGCGGCGGCAAGGACCCGGUGCAGAUGCCGCACUUGUCGCAGCACAGCGUAGCGCCUGCAGGCAGCCAACCAAGGUCAAUAACCUGCUAA
RNAcentral lists this ribosomal RNA (534 nucleotides) under Triticum aestivum (bread wheat). RNAcentral's name for it is "partial small subunit ribosomal RNA". The record is from RNAcentral. Lineage: Eukaryota; Viridiplantae; Streptophyta; Magnoliopsida; Poales; Poaceae.